This 469-nucleotide ribosomal RNA is filed under the name uncultured bacterium. RNAcentral describes it as "bacterial SSU rRNA". It matches the Rfam family "Bacterial small subunit ribosomal RNA", at positions 331 to 792 of the family's 1533-position model. The record is from RNAcentral.
CCAGACUCCUACGGGAGGCAGCAGUGGGGACUCUUGCACAAUGGGCGCCCGCCUGAUGCCGCCCUGCCGCGUGUCUGCCGAAGGCCUUCGGGUUGUAAAGUCCUUUCAGCGGGGCGGCAGGCGAUAAGGUUACUAACCUUGUUGAUUGACGUUACCCGCAGAAGAAGCACCGGCUAACUCCGUGCCAGCAGCCGCGGUAAUACGGAGGGUGCAGGCGUUAACCGGAAUUACUGGGCGUAAAGCGCACGCAGGCGGUCUGGCAAGUCGGAUGUGAAAUCCCCGGGCUCAACCGGGGAACUGCAUUAGAAACUGGCAGGCUGGAGUCUUGUAGAGGGGGGUAGAAUUCCAGGUGUAGCGGUGAAAUGCGUAGAGAUCUGGAGGAAUACCGGUGGCGAAGGCGGCCCCCUGGACAAAGACUGACGCUCAGGUGCGAAAGCGUGGGGAGCAAACAGGAUUAGAUACCCCGGUA